UACGUAGGGAGCGAGCGUUGUCCGAAGUUACUGGGCGUAAAGCGCGCGUAGGCGGGUUAUUAAGUGAGAGGUGAAAUUCCAGGGCUCAACCCGGGGACUGCCUCUCAUACUGAUAGUCUUGAGUGAGGUAGAGAGAAGUGGAAUGGCUGGUGUAGCGGUGAAAUGCGUAGAUAUCAGUCGGAACACCGGUGGCGAAGGCGGCUUCUUGGGCCUUUACUGACGCUGAUGCGCGAAAGCCAGGGUAGCGAACGGG
This 253-nucleotide ribosomal RNA is filed under the name uncultured bacterium. Its description in RNAcentral is "partial 16S ribosomal RNA". It matches the Rfam family "Bacterial small subunit ribosomal RNA", at positions 524 to 776 of the family's 1533-position model. The record is from RNAcentral. RNAcentral also lists the same sequence under 1 other name.